This 482-nucleotide ribosomal RNA is filed under the name uncultured bacterium. Its description in RNAcentral is "partial 16S ribosomal RNA". It matches the Rfam family "Bacterial small subunit ribosomal RNA", at positions 28 to 507 of the family's 1533-position model. The record is from RNAcentral.
GACGAACGCUGGCGGCGUGCUUAACACAUGCAAGUCGAACGAUGAAGAAGAGAAACGCGAACUUCGGUUCAAAUUUCACUUCGGAUUAGUGGCAGACGGGUGAGUAACGCGUGAGCAACCUACCUCUUACAAAGGGAUAGCCUCGGGAAACCGUGAUUAAUACCAUAUGACACAUUCAUAAGGCAUCUUAAGACUGUUAAAGCUACGGCGGUAAGAGAUGGGCUCGCGUCCCAUUAGCUAGUUGGUGAGGUAACGGCCCACCAAGGCGACGAUGGGUAACCGGCCUGAGAGAGUGAACGGUCACAUUGGAACUGAGACACGGUCCAAACUCCUACGGGAGGCAGCAGUGGGGAAUAUUGCACAAUGGAGGGAACUCUGAUGCAGCGACGCCGCGUGAGCGAUGAAGGAAUUCGUUUCGUAAAGCUCUGUUCUAUGGGAAGAAAAGGACUGUACCAUAGGAGAAAGCCCCGGCUAAAUACGUG